UACGUAGGGUGCGAGCGUUGUCCGGAAUUAUUGGGCGUAAAGAGCUCGUAGGCGGUUUGUCGCGUCGACUGUGAAAACCCGAGGCUUAACCUCGGGCCUGCAGUCGAUACGGGCAGACUAGAGUUCGGUAGGGGAGACUGGAAUUCCUGGUGUAGCGGUGAAAUGCGCAGAUAUCAGGAGGAACACCAGUGGCGAAGGCGGCUACCUGGGCAAAUACUGACGCUGAGGCGCGAAAGCGUGGGGAGCAAACAGG
RNAcentral lists this ribosomal RNA (253 nucleotides) under uncultured bacterium. Its description in RNAcentral is "partial 16S ribosomal RNA". It matches the Rfam family "Bacterial small subunit ribosomal RNA", at positions 524 to 776 of the family's 1533-position model. The record is from RNAcentral.